RNAcentral lists this ribosomal RNA (500 nucleotides) under uncultured bacterium. RNAcentral's name for it is "partial 16S ribosomal RNA". It matches the Rfam family "Bacterial small subunit ribosomal RNA", at positions 30 to 523 of the family's 1533-position model. The record is from RNAcentral.
AUUGAACGCUGGCGGCAUGCCUUACACAUGCAAGUCGAACGGCAGCACGGGAGCAAUCCUGGUGGCGAGUGGCGAACGGGUGAGUAAAGUAUCGGAACGUGCCCAGUCGUGGGGGAUAACGUAGCGAAAGUUACGCUAAUACCGCAUACGAUCUAUGGAUGAAAGCGGGGGAUCGCAAGACCUCGCGCGAUUGGAGCGGCCGAUAUCAGAUUAGGUAGUUGGUGGGGUAAAGGCUAACCAAGCCGACGAUCUGUAGCUGGUCUGAGAGGACGACCAGCCACACUGGGACUGAGACACGGCCCAGACUCCUACGGGAGGCAGCAGUGGGGAAUUUUGGACAAUGGGCGCAAGCCUGAUCCAGCCAUGCCGCGUGCAGGAUGAAGGCCUUCGGGUUGUAAACUGCUUUUGUACGGAACGAAAAGGUUUGGCCUAAUAAGCUGAGCUCAUGACGGUACCGUAAGAAUAAGCACCGGCUAACUACGUGCCAGCCGCCGCAGUAA